UACGUAGGGGGCGAGCGUUGUCCGAAUUUACUGGGCGUAAAGCGCGCGUAGGCGGGUUGGCAAGUCUGCUGUGAAAGCCUGGGGCUUAACUCCGGAGGGUCGGUGGAUACUGCCAGUCUUGAAGGUGCUAGGGAGAGAUGGAAUUACAGGUGUAGCGGUGAAAUGCGUAGAUAUCUGUAGGAACACCAGUGGCGAAGGCGGUCUCUUGGGGCAUUCUUGACGCUGAGGCGCGAAAGCGUGGGGAGCGAACAGG
This 253-nucleotide ribosomal RNA is filed under the name uncultured bacterium. RNAcentral describes it as "partial 16S ribosomal RNA". It matches the Rfam family "Bacterial small subunit ribosomal RNA", at positions 524 to 776 of the family's 1533-position model. The record is from RNAcentral.